GCCUGGGUGGCUCAGUUGGUUGAGCAUCUGACUCCGGCUCAGGUCAUGAUCUCACGGUUUGUGGGUUCGAGCCCCGCGUCGGGCU
Non-coding RNA from Hyaena hyaena (striped hyena), 85 nucleotides. NCBI's taxonomy places the organism in Eukaryota, Metazoa, Chordata, Mammalia, Carnivora, Hyaenidae. The record is from the annotation of a RefSeq genome assembly.